Molecule: ribosomal RNA, 482 nt
Filed under: uncultured bacterium
Lineage: Bacteria
Description: bacterial SSU rRNA
Rfam family: Bacterial small subunit ribosomal RNA
Source: RNAcentral
GGGUGGCGGCGUGACCUAACACAUGCAAGUCGAACGGAGUUUUUUUGAGGUAAGUUUUUCGGAUUGAAUCAGAUGACUUUAGUGGCGGACGGGUGAGUAACGCGUGGGAAACCUCGCCCUGUACGUGGGGGAUAACACUUAGAAAUAGGUGCUAAAACCGCAUAAGCGCACGGGACCGCAUGGUCUUGUGUGAAAAAACUCCGGUGGUACAGGAUGGUCCCCGCGUCUGAUUAGCCAGUUGGCAGGGUAACGGCCUACCAAAGCGACGAUCAGUAGCCGGCCUGAGAGGGUGGACGGCCACAUUGGGACUGAGACACGGCCCAAACUCCUACGGGAGGCAGCAGUGGGGAAUAUUGCACAAUGGGGGAAACCCUGAUGCAGCGACGCCGCGUGAGUGAAGAAGUAUUUCGGUAUGUAAAGCUCUAUCAGCAGGGAAGAAAAAUGACGGUACCUGAGUAAGAAGCCCCGGCUAACUACGUGCC